This is a long non-coding RNA of Xenia sp. Carnegie-2017, 469 nucleotides long. RefSeq lists it as uncharacterized. NCBI's taxonomy places the organism in Eukaryota, Metazoa, Cnidaria, Anthozoa, Malacalcyonacea, Xeniidae. The transcript has 3 exons. The record is from RefSeq and is a predicted model, not a curated record.
UCCAAAAAAAUUUGUCGACAGGACACCACCGCAAGAAUAUUUAGAUGGUCGAGACAGUUUUUGCUACGAAUGUUUGACACGUAAAAAGGAAUCGAAGGAACAUCGAUUGUAACAAACUGAAAAGCAUUGUACGAGAAAGGUUUUGAUUCUGGAUUAUAUCCAAAAGAAUUUAUUUUCCUGGGUGAAUACAUAGUUACACUUGAGUCAAACAAGAAAGAGGUCAAAGACGAGCAAUCAUGGCUUGUAGCUCACUCUCGUCGGCGAUGAAAUAAAUCGAAACGGAAAAUUUACCUGAGGUACAUACGGAUGUUUUGGAACUCAGACAUUAAUUGCUUUUAUAAAGCACUUCUAUAUAGUUUGUCUGAGGGCUGAGGCAGUGUGCAUAGCAAUCCUCGAUAAUUGAAAAAGGGGGUGUAAUAAUCAUUUAAACAUGUCCCUGAAACAUUCAAAAAUAAAUAAUUGGCAAACA